Molecule: ribosomal RNA, 253 nt
Filed under: uncultured bacterium
Lineage: Bacteria
Description: partial 16S ribosomal RNA
Rfam family: Bacterial small subunit ribosomal RNA
Source: RNAcentral
UACGUAGGGGGCAAGCGUUGUCCGGAUUUAUUGGGCGUAAAGAGCGUGUAGGCGGCCAUGCAGGUCCGCUGUGAAAACUCGAGGCUCAACCUCGAGACGUCGGUGGAAACCGUGUGGCUAGAGUCCGGAAGAGGAGAGUGGAAUUCCAGGUGUAGCGGUGAAAUGCGUAGAGAUCUGGAGGAACACCGAUGGCGAAGGCAGCCUUCUGGGCCAACACUGACGCUCAUGCACGAAAGCGUGGGGAGCAAACAGG